RNAcentral lists this long non-coding RNA (537 nucleotides) under Pan troglodytes (chimpanzee). RNAcentral's name for it is "long non-coding RNA NONPTRT013722". The record is from RNAcentral. Lineage: Eukaryota; Metazoa; Chordata; Mammalia; Primates; Hominidae.
GAUCCCAUGUAGCAAACCUACAGGCGUCCGCUAGUAACGAGACAGAAUGUGCUAACAUCGGGAUAAAUUAGUGAAAGGGAAGAAAGAAUAAGAAGAAAGGACUGAAAAUCUGGGCUGGAUUCCGCCUGUUAGUCGGGAAGUGGCAUUUUUCCGCCCGUCCUGACAGAUUUGAUUUCUUGAACUAACUUAAGAGAAAAGGAGGGGGGGAGUAGAGGGAGGAGGAGGAGGAGGAAGAAAGGGUGGGAUGAGAAACUGGGCAAGAGGAGAAAAAGAAAGGUGUGGAGGAGGAGAGAGCAGAUGAUUCAUGCAAGCCUUUCACAUCACGUGAGGAUCAAGGGCUCAAUUGGUUGUCGUGAGAACAAAAAUGGUGACAAGCGUAUCAAGAAAAUACUGAUCUGGUCUUUAAAAAAAAAAAAAAGCUGAAAGUCUCUCCCCUCCCCCUGCACACACUCCCCCAACCUCUUCCCUCCGCACCCCGCAGUGGGCGAAGCUACAAGUUAUGAAUGUGAAACAUUUCUCGGAGAUCUAGGAUCUCCG